AAAGAAAAUAAGUGAUCGGGCACAGGCGAAGACGGCGCAGGCUCCAUAAGGCUCAGCGUUUACAGAGUUCGGGUAGAGUAAGUGGAAGGUGCCCUUUCAACGCUCAGAGUCCAUAUUCGUAAGGCCGCCGGCACUGUCGCACCAGCCGCCCAGCCGCGGUCACCAUGGCGGUCUGCCGACGCCGCUCGCUCGGCUUCAAGGCGCUGGUGACCAUUCCGCUGGUGUGGGUGACGCUGCUGCUGUUCUUCUUCGUCGACCAGCAGGUCACACGGCUGGAGAAGCUGGAGACGGGCCGCCGGGGCGGCAUUGUGCAGCGCCUGAUGCGGGGUAGUGGUGUGGACUCGCUGCCUGCGCGGCUGCCCAAGACGGCCACGGGGUCCGGCCCAGCUGAUGACCCGCCAGUCGGCGAACAGAGGGGAUUCCUUCUGCCUCCUCAGGAGCCCAGUGGACCCGGAGAGAUGGGGAAACCGGUCAUAGUGGUCAAAGACAAACUGUCUAAAGAGGACAAAGAGGCAAUGGAGAAGGGCUGGUCGAGCAACGCGUUCAACCAGUACGUUAGCGACCAGAUCUCCGUGCACCGGACCCUGCCGGAUGUCCGUGAUGACAAGUGUCGCGAGAAUCGCUUCAGCCGCCACCUGCCAGACACCGCGGUAAUCAUCUGCUUCCACAACGAGGCGUGGUCGACGCUGGUGCGCACUGUCCACUCUGUGCUGGAUCGCUCUCCGGCCCACCUGCUCACGGAACUCAUCCUGGUCGACGACUUCUCCAGCCACGAAUAUCUGGGUAAGCGCCUUUCCGACUACAUGUCACAGUACCCUCGUGUGAAGAUUGUGCGGACUCAGAAGCGUGAGGGUCUGAUCCGCGCCCGUCUCCUGGGGGCGAGUCACGCCAAUGCUGACGUGCUGACCUACCUGGACAGCCACUGCGAGUGCACGGAAGGGUGGCUGGAGCCACUGCUGGACAGGAUAGCCCGGAACCGCACCACCGUCGUCUGCCCCGUCAUCGACGUCAUCAACGACGACACGUUCGAGUACCACUGGCAGAGGGCCAGCGGCACCUCUGUCGGCGGCUUCGACUGGAACCUGCAGUUCAACUGGCACGCCAUCCCGGAGAGGGAGCGGAAGCUGCACUCGCACCCCUCGGAGCCGGUGGCCACACCCACAAUGGCCGGCGGCCUGUUCGCCAUAGACCGGCGCUGGUUCGAGAAGCUCGGCUCCUACGACCCGGCCUUCGACAUCUGGGGCGGAGAGAACCUCGAGCUCAGCUUCAAGGUGUGGAUGUGCGGCGGCCGGCUGGAGAUCGUGCCCUGCAGUCACGUGGGUCACAUCUUCAGGAAGCGCUCGCCGUACAAGUGGCGCUCCGGAGUGAACGUGCUGCGCCGCAACAGCGUGCGGUUGGCCGAGGUCUGGAUGGACGAGUACAAAAACUACUUCUACGACAGAAUCAACCAUGAACUGGGCGACUACGGUGACGUGUCGUCCCGGCGCGCCCUGCGGCAGAGGCUGCAGUGCAAGUCGUUCAAGUGGUACCUCGAUAACGUGUUUCCCGAGCUGUUCGUACCUGGCGAGGCGGCGGCCUUCGGGGAGAUUCGGAAUUUGCAGACCAAACUGUGUGUGGACUCCCAGUGCGAUUCGGUGAACGACAUGUACAAGCCAGUUGGACUCUACACGUGCCACAACUUGGGAGGAAAUCAGUAUUGGUUGAUGAGCAAGGAUGGGGAAAUACGGCGCGACGAGGCAUGUCUGGACUAUGCCGGUACAAAUGUGACCCUCUACCCGUGCCACGGAAGCAGGGGCAACCAGUUCUGGAUUUACAAUCCCAAGAAAAACUUUAUUCAUCAUGGGUCAAGUAACAAAUGCAUGGGUGUUAGUGAAGAUCGAAAAUACGUUACCAUGGAACAAUGUGAUGACAGUAACCCGAGGAUACGCUGGGUUUUCGCAAACUUCGACGAGACCAAACUAAGAAAUUCAACAAACAUUCGAUAAGGUCGCUGAUUUGCUUCGGGUCACCCAGUCAACCGUCGCCGGUUACAGAGCUGCCACCUCAGUCGGUACAGUGUAGGCCGGUGCGCUGCCGCUGGCGUGGUGGCGCCACAGUCGUCAAACGGUGUGACCAAAGGUGUGACCACGACCCACACCGGGUCAGAGGGCUUGACUGUAUGUGCCAGUGACUGCCUUCUGAAGGCAUCUCUACAUAGGCAUACGUCAGUGAUGUGGAUUGGACAGAGUGAUGUGGGCAGAUAAAGUGUGUGUGACUGACUCGAAACUCAUUGAAGCUCGACUCAGGUAAGUGCUCUGUGGCCAGCGGUUGUGUUCAUUCCGUGCAGCGAAAUGGCUGGCUUUUACUCGACAACGGAGCGUUGAAAUGCUCUGUGAUAUGCUCGUCAACAUAUCUAGUGGCAUUCCAUAUCCACAAUGUGGUGAUAUUAGUUGGUUCAUCAAGAACGACGGUGAUGAGAGAGUGUCGUUGUCUCGCUGUCGUCAAGAAAAUGAACUUCUUGUGAUGCAGUGCGGCUACAGUGCUGAACUAUGCACAGCGUACCAACAGUAGAUGACGCUCUAGUCGGCCGCUGCCGUGCAGUGUUCACGAGUAUCACGAUGCAACUCAGCAGCAUCUGCCUUCAGAAGCAACUCAGACUGCCGGCAAUCGACCUCCAUCGGCUGUCCUCGUACCUCGUGAAACGCCUCACUGCAUCGACCGCGGCUGGGAGGGGCUCGUCACGGACUACCCCGAUCCAAGGUGAUCAGGGACCGCCUGCAGAGUUACGGCGGAGCGCUCACGGAUGGCGCAGCUGCGCUGGCCGGAGCUGUGAGCCGAGCUGAGCUGGCGCAGCCGACCUUCAGACCUGGUGGAGGUCCCACCGCGACCCUGGCGGCCGUGGAUCCCAGACGGCCAUCAGAGGGGAGACUCGGGGAAAACCCCGCCGGGAAGCAUCACUGACCGUGGUGAUCACGGUGAUGUAGACGACGUCAUUAUGAUUCACGAUAAAUUGUGUUCGGUGAGGGGCAUCCAGCUAGGGUUCUGUUGGUGCGCGAGGGCCAGUGAAGUGCUACGUGAUGGAACACCAUGCUCGUCGUUACGCCGCAUUGUAUAAUGACUCUAAACUGCGCUGAGAUUGAAAGUGCUUUUGUUGACAAUGUGUGAAUGUGAUGGGACGUGUGUGAAGUGAGGUGACUUUUGAUAGGCUCAACGUGGGGCUGCUUUUUUGCGUUACGAUGCAUUUGUACGCUACACAGGUGACGCUCAAGCGUCUGGAUUUCCUAAUCCAUCCCCACUAGAAAUAAGUAGCAAUGUGGCACUCAAGCGUCCACAUUCAGCUCAUGUUGGUUGUGUUAAUUUGGCAUCGAAUGCGCCGAUAGGGUGCUACACACACUGUUUCUACCUACCCGCAAAUGAGACGGCUCCUUGUCGACAAAUCUAGUCUUUCGAUUCAGUGGCAUGCAUGAGUUGAAAGCUGCCAUGGCUAAGGUGUGACAGCGUGUUGUGCAUUCCCUUAUUCGUGCUCGUUCAGCACGUAUUCCAGUCUGUG
RNAcentral lists this unclassified non-coding RNA (3529 nucleotides) under Amphibalanus amphitrite. RNAcentral's name for it is "putative polypeptide N- acetylgalactosaminyltransferase 9, transcript variant X7". Lineage: Eukaryota; Metazoa; Arthropoda; Thecostraca; Balanomorpha; Balanidae. The record is from RNAcentral.